Molecule: ribosomal RNA, 327 nt
Filed under: uncultured soil bacterium
Lineage: Bacteria
Description: bacterial SSU rRNA
Rfam family: Bacterial small subunit ribosomal RNA
Source: RNAcentral
AGACUGAACGCUGGCGGCAUGCCUUACACAUGCAAGUCGAACGGCAGCACGGGGGCAACUCUGGUGGCGAGUGGCGAACGGGUGAGUAAUGCAUCGGAACGUGCCCAGUAGUGGGGGAUAACUAGUCGAAAGAUUAGCUAAUACCGCAUACGACCUAUGGGUGAAAGCGGGGGAUUCGCAAGAACCUCGCGCUAUCGGAGCGGCCGAUGUCUGAUUAGCUAGUUGGCGGGUAAAGCCCACCAAGGCUUCGAUCAGUAGCUGGUCUGAGAGGACGACCAGCCACACUGGGACUGAGACCACGGCCCAGACCUCCUACGGGAGGCAGCA